Molecule: ribosomal RNA, 253 nt
Filed under: uncultured bacterium
Lineage: Bacteria
Description: partial 16S ribosomal RNA
Rfam family: Bacterial small subunit ribosomal RNA
Source: RNAcentral
UACGGAGGGUGCGAGCGUUAAUCGGAAUAACUGGGCGUCAAGGUCACGCAGGCGGGCUUUUAAGUGAGAUGUGAAAUCCCCGUGCUUAACCUGGGAAUAGCAUUUCAGACUGGGAGUCUAGAGUACUUUAGGGAGGGGUAGAAUUCCACGUGUAGCGGUGAAAUGAGUAGAGAUGUGGAGGAAUACCGAAGGCGAAGGAAGCCCCUUGGGAAUGUACUGACGCUCAUGUGCGAAAGCGUGGGGAGCAAACAGG